ACUCAAAUGAAUUGACGGGGGCCCGCACAAGCGGUGGAACAUGUGGUUCAAUUCGACGCAACGCGAAGAACCUUACCUGGGCUUGAACCGCUACGGACCAGCGAUAGAAAUAUUGCCUUCCCGCAAGGGACCGUAGUAGAGGUGCUGCAUGGCUGUCGUCAGCUCGUGCCGUGAGGUGUUGGGUUAAGUCCCGCAACGAGCGCAACCCUUACUCGUAGUUGCUACCCGCAAGGGAGAACUCUACGAGGACUGCUCCGGAUAACGGAGAGGAAGGUGGGGAUGACGUCAAGUCAGCACGGCCUUUAUGUCCAGGGCUACACACGUGUUACAAUGCAUGGUACAGACUGUUGCGAACCCGCGAGGGGGAGCUAAUCGGCCAAAGCCAUGCUCAGUUCGGAUUGCAGUCUGCAACUCGACUGCAUGAAGCUGGAAUCGCUAGUAAUGGCGCAUCAGAUCGGCGCCGUGAAUACGUUCCCGGGCCUUGCACACACCGCCCGU
RNAcentral lists this ribosomal RNA (498 nucleotides) under uncultured bacterium. RNAcentral describes it as "partial 16S ribosomal RNA". It matches the Rfam family "Bacterial small subunit ribosomal RNA", at positions 899 to 1397 of the family's 1533-position model. The record is from RNAcentral.